GUGUUCACUUUGGCAGCACAUGCACAAAAAUUGGAACAAUACAGAGAAGAUUCAUAAGGUGUCUGCGCAAGGAUGACAUACAAAUUUGUGAGGUGUUCCACAUAAAA
This is a small nuclear RNA of Macaca mulatta (Rhesus monkey), 107 nucleotides long. Lineage: Eukaryota; Metazoa; Chordata; Mammalia; Primates; Cercopithecidae. The record is from RefSeq and is a predicted model, not a curated record.